This 72-nucleotide transfer RNA is filed under the name Faecalicatena contorta. RNAcentral describes it as "tRNA-Arg". It matches the Rfam family "tRNA". From Rfam's summary of the family: Transfer RNA (tRNA) molecules are approximately 80 nucleotides in length. The record is from RNAcentral. RNAcentral also lists the same sequence under 9 other names. Lineage: Bacteria; Bacillati; Bacillota; Clostridia; Lachnospirales; Lachnospiraceae.
GUCUCUGUAGCUCAGUGGAUAGAGCACUGCCCUCCGGAGGCAGGUGCGCCAGUUCGACUCUGGUCAGAGACG